RNAcentral lists this ribosomal RNA (1089 nucleotides) under uncultured Candidatus Saccharibacteria bacterium. RNAcentral's name for it is "bacterial SSU rRNA". It matches the Rfam family "Bacterial small subunit ribosomal RNA", at positions 28 to 1167 of the family's 1533-position model. Lineage: Bacteria; Candidatus Saccharimonadota. The record is from RNAcentral.
GAUGAACGCUGGCGGCAUGCCUAACACAUGCAAGUCGAUCGGUAAGGCUCUUCGGAGUACACGAGAGGCGGACGGCUGAGUAACGCGUAGGAACACACCCUGCAGUGAGGGAUAAGACACCGAAAGGUGUUCUAAUACCGCAUACGGUCUUCGGAUUAAAGCAUUUAUGCGCUGAAGGAGUGGCCUGCGUCAUAUUAGAUAGUUGGUGAGGUAAUGGCUUACCAAGUCGAUGAUGUGUAGCUGGUCUGAGAGGAUGAUCAGCCAGACUGGAACUGAGACACGGUCCAGACUCCUACGGGAGGCAGCAGUGAGGAAUAUUUCACAAUGAGCGAAAGCUUGAUGGAGCAAUGCCGCGUGCAGGAUGAAGGCCUUCGGGUUGUAAACUGCUUUUAUAAGAGAAGAUUAUGACGGUAACUUAUGAAUAAGGGACGGCUAACUACGUGCCAGCAGCCGCGGUCAUACGUAGGUCCCGAGCGUUAUCCGGAGUGACUGGGCGUAAAGAGUUGCGUAGGCGGUCAAGUUAGCGAGCGAUGAAAACUAUCGGCUCAACCGAUAGCUUGUUGUUCGAACUGCUUGACUCGAGAGUAUCAGAGGUCGCUGGAAUUCCUAGUGUAGCAGUGAAAUGCGUAGAUAUUAGGAAGAACACCGAUGGCGUAGGCAGGCGACUGGGAUAUUUCUGACGCUAAGGCACGAAAGCGUGGGUAGCGAACCGGAUUAGAUACCCGGGUAGUCCACGCCGUAAACGAUGGAUGCUAAUUGUUUGAGGUAUCGACCCCUCGAGUAAUAAAGCUAACGCGUUAAGCAUCCCGCCUGUGGAGUACGGCCGCAAGGCUAAAACAUAAAGGAAUUGACGGGGACCCGCACAAGCGGUGGAGGAUGUUCUUUAAUUCGACGUUAAGCGAAGAACCUUACCAGGGCUUGACAUCCCUAGAACUUUUUCGAAAGAAAAAGGUGCCUUCGGGAGCUAGGUGACAGAUCCUGCAUGGCCGUCGUCAGCUCGUGUCGUGAGAUGUUUGGUUAAGUCCAUCAACGAGCGCAACCCUUGUCGUCAGUUGUAUUUUUCUGGCGAGACUGCCCCGGUAACGGGGA